Molecule: ribosomal RNA, 253 nt
Filed under: uncultured bacterium
Lineage: Bacteria
Description: partial 16S ribosomal RNA
Rfam family: Bacterial small subunit ribosomal RNA
Source: RNAcentral
UACAGAGGGGGCAAGCGUUAUUCGGAAUUAUUGGGCGUAAAGCGCACGUAGGCGGCUUGGCAAGUCGGAUGUGAAAUCCCUCGGCUCAACCAAGGAAGUGCAUCCGAAACUGCCGAGCUUGAGUACUUAAGAGGAUCGCGGAAUUCCCGGUGUAGAGGUGAAAUUCGUAGAUAUCGGGAGGAACACCAGUGGCGAAGGCGGCGAUCUGGGAAGAUACUGACGCUGAGGUGCGAAAGCGUGGGGAGCAAACAGG